Molecule: long non-coding RNA, 971 nt
Organism: Myotis myotis
Lineage: Eukaryota; Metazoa; Chordata; Mammalia; Chiroptera; Vespertilionidae
Exons: 3
Source: RefSeq, a predicted model, not a curated record
UAUUCCAAAGGUUAGGGCGUUUCUUAUCUCCAUUCCAGGGAGUAAAGAUUAUGUAGCUUAAGGAUGAUUGUUCCUAGUUAAAGUGAUUAACUACCUGCCUGGAAUUUAGUUAAGGGUUUUUAUUCACUCUCUAACUUCAGGGAAAAAUCCCUACCUGGGGAAACAACCUUUCUCGGAGAAGUGACCUUGUUUAAAACACAUAGUGCCAAGAAGGUGAGCAAACAUAUUAAGAACAGUAUGCCAGUACGCCAUAUACGCUUGAAACAUAUGCUGUGCAGAUGUUUCUUCCCUGCAGCGACUGUGUCAAGCAGCAAGGAUGGACCGGCUUCCAGCAGUAUCUCCUCCAUGACCUAAAGUCUUCAAGGGUUUCCUCCCAGCACACUCACCUGAGUUAAACCUGUAGAAGGCACUUGUUUGCUGAAGAGACCCAGAUGCCUACGGGAUCACAUCUGGUGGUGCCUGUGUGGGAGACUUGUAAAUAUCGACUGUCGUUUGAAAGACUUAAGAAGAAGGCUGUAGACCCGAUAAAGUUUUGGUAAAGACCUUGCUAUCAGUGCUCUGAAAACCUAAGAAGUCUGAACAAAACUGCUAUCAAAGACUAUUUCCCAACGACUGCAAUGCAAGAGGGUGAUACCAUACGAACAAAUCUUCGCUUGUGAGAUGCUGCUGUUGCAGAGGGCUGCCCUCCUCUCCGUGAGAGUGGCCGUGCAAGCUCCGAGUGUCUGUCUUUAAAACGAUACCUGGCACUUGAGCUUGUCCCGGAAGGAUGUUGUGAAACCAGGCACAGAAUGUCCGUAAAGCUCCCAGAGUUUGCAUGCAGGAAAGCCCAGAGUGGUAAUAAAUAAUACCUUGGGUUUACACCGUGCUCUUACGCCAGAAUGCAAACCUUGGUAGGAAGAGAAGGUACCAUCAUUUCAACUGUCUUUCUCCAAAGCCUCCCUAAAAGAGCGGGAGGCUGUGUUUGCCGGUGG